ACGUAGGGUGCGAGCGUUGUCCGGAAUUACUGGGCGUAAAGGGCUCGUAGGCGGCCAACUAAGUCGGAUGUGAAAUCCCCAGGCUCAACUUGGGAACUGCAUCCGAUACUGGAUGGCUUGAAUCCGGGAGAGGGAUGCAGAAUUCCAGGUGUAGCGGUGAAAUGCGUAGAUAUCUGGAGGAAUACCGGUGGCGAAGGCGGCAUCCUGGACCGGCAUUGACGCUGAUGAGCGAAAGCUAGGGGAGCAAACGGGA
Molecule: ribosomal RNA, 253 nt
Filed under: uncultured prokaryote
Description: partial 16S ribosomal RNA
Rfam family: Bacterial small subunit ribosomal RNA
Source: RNAcentral